AGAGUUUGAUCCUGGCUCAGAUUGAACGCUGGCGGCAGGCCUAACACAUGCAAGUCGAACGGUAACAGGAAACAGCUUGCUGUUUCGCUGACGAGUGGCGGACGGGUGAGUAAUGUCUGGGAAACUGCCUGAUGGAGGGGGAUAACUACUGGAAACGGUAGCUAAUACCGCAUAACGUCGCAAGACCAAAGAGGGGGACCUUCGGGCCUCUCGCCAUCGGAUGUGCCCAGAUGGGAUUAGCUAGUAGGUGGGGUAACGGCUCACCUAGGCGACGAUCCCUAGCUGGUCUGUGAGGAUGACCAGCCACACUGGAACUGAGACACGGUCCAGACUCCUACGGGAGGCAGCAGUGGGGAAUAUUGCACAAUGGGCGCAAGCCUGAUGCAGCCAUGCCGCGUGUAUGAAGAAGGCCUUCGGGUUGUAAAGUACUUUCAGCGGGGAGGAAGGGAGUAAAGUUAA
Molecule: ribosomal RNA, 459 nt
Filed under: uncultured bacterium
Lineage: Bacteria
Description: bacterial SSU rRNA
Rfam family: Bacterial small subunit ribosomal RNA
Source: RNAcentral